Morus notabilis is the source of this 1108-nucleotide RNA transcript. It is a transcript of the gene named vesicle transport protein GOT1, with no coding region annotated. NCBI's taxonomy places the organism in Eukaryota, Viridiplantae, Streptophyta, Magnoliopsida, Rosales, Moraceae. The record is from RefSeq and is a predicted model, not a curated record. The transcript has 8 exons.
AAAAAAAAGAGCUCCAAAUUUUUUUUGGUUCACGCUCUUUCACAACCAUUUUCUCUGACGUCCUCUCUCAGUUUCUCUACUCUUAUCGUUCUUUCGUUUGGUUUCCGAGAAAACGGUAGGAAAAUCACAGCAUCAAAAACCUCGGUUCGAUUAAUUUCUCAUUUUUCUCGUUUGCUUAGCUUCAGAUCCGAUCUUCUAUCGACUAACCGACUUUUCGAUUCCGAUUUGCUGCUCUGCAGACUUUCCACUGCUCGUCUCGAUCGCUGCGAUUCAGUAAAAAGGUUUGAUUCGCUGUUUCUCCGUGCAGAGAAGCGAAUCUUCGGCAAACAAAGAUGGUUUCGUUCGAAAUGAAUGAUCGGAAAAAGAUUGGAAUAGGAUUGACGGGAUUUGGGGUUUUCUUCUCAUUUCUGGGAAUUAUAUUCUUCUUCGACAAGGGAUUACUUGCCAUGGGAAAUAUCCUAUUCUUCUCAGGGGUGACUCUUACCAUUGGACUUAAGUCCACUAUGCAAUUUUUCAUGAAACCUCAGAAUUUCAAGGGAACAAUAUCGUUUGGUCUUGGCUUCAUCUUGGUAGUUAUAGGAUGGCCCAUUUUUGGCAUGAUUUUGGAGGCAUACGGUUUCAUUGUACUCUUCAGCGGCUUCUGGCCCACACUAGCUGUUUUUCUGCAGAGGAUACCUAUUCUUGGGUGGUUGAUUCAACAGCCUUACAUCAGAUCGCUUUUUGAUCGCCAUCGGGGCAGACGGGUGCCUGUGUGAGCUGGGAAGGAAACAAACAAGUGCACCCCAAGAUUGUGGGAAGGCCCACUUCUGUAAUCUGUACUUCCAGCUGUUAUCUGCAACUUUAAAUUUCCAGCCUUUGGUGAUGGAAAGCUGUUUCAUCAAGCAGACUUUGAUGCCAUGUGGCUGCAUUUCUAUCAGCAAAUCACCACUAUUUUUGGUCAUGGCGUUUUGAGUUACUCUUAAUGAAAUAUAUGGAGUGGAUUGGAGAUCAACUUGAAAGCAAAACAAAAAGUAUAUAAACUUUUUUUUUUUUGGUUGUCUUGGAUGUGUUCCGAGUUAGACAUUGUCGUUAGCGAGCAGGUAAAUGAUGUCGUAUCCAAGGAUUUCUC